GACGAACGCUGGCGGCGUGCCUAAUACAUGCAAGUCGAACGCUUCUUUUUUCCAUCGGAGCUUGCUCCACCGGAAAAAGAAGGAGUGGCGAACGGGUGAGUAACACGUGGGUAACCUGCCCAUCAGAAGGGGAUAACACUUGGAAACAGGUGCUAAUACCGUAUAACAAUCGAAACCGCAUGGUUUUUGAUUUGAAGGCGCUUUCGGGUGUCGCUGAUGGAUGGACCCGCGGUGCAUUAGCUAGUUGGUGAGGUAACGGCUCACCAAGGCGACGAUGCAUAGCCGACCUGAGAGGGUGAUCGGCCACAUUGGGACUGAGACACGGCCCAAACUCCUACGGGAGGCAGCAGUAGGGAAUCUUCGGCAAUGGACGAAAAGUCUGACCGAGCAACGCCGCGUGAGUGAAGAAGGUUUUCGGAUCGUAAAACUCUGUUGUUAGAGAAGAACAAGGAUGAGAGUAACUGUUCAUCCCUUGACGGUAUCUAAACCAG
RNAcentral lists this ribosomal RNA (491 nucleotides) under uncultured bacterium. RNAcentral describes it as "bacterial SSU rRNA". It matches the Rfam family "Bacterial small subunit ribosomal RNA", at positions 28 to 487 of the family's 1533-position model. The record is from RNAcentral.